GACGUAGGGGGCCAGCGUUGUUCGGAAUUACUGGGCGUAAAGCGUGUGUAGGCGGCCGCGUAAGUCGGGUGUGAAAGCCCAGGGCUCAACCCUGGAAGUGCACUCGAAACUGCGUGGCUCGAGUACCGGAGAGGUUGGUGGAAUUCUCGGUGUAGAGGUGAAAUUCGUAGAUAUCAGGAGGAACACCGGUGGCGAAGGCGGGUCUCUGGGCCGAUACUGACGCUGAGGAGCGAAAGCGUGGGGAGCGAACAGG
This 253-nucleotide ribosomal RNA is filed under the name uncultured bacterium. Its description in RNAcentral is "partial 16S ribosomal RNA". It matches the Rfam family "Bacterial small subunit ribosomal RNA", at positions 524 to 776 of the family's 1533-position model. The record is from RNAcentral.